This 492-nucleotide ribosomal RNA is filed under the name uncultured bacterium. Its description in RNAcentral is "partial 16S ribosomal RNA". It matches the Rfam family "Bacterial small subunit ribosomal RNA", at positions 29 to 507 of the family's 1533-position model. The record is from RNAcentral.
AGUGAACGCUGGCGGUAGGCCUAACACAUGCAAGUCGAACGGCAGCACAGUAAGAGCUUGCUCUUACGGGUGGCGAGUGGCGGACGGGUGAGGAAUACAUCGGAAUCUACUUUUUCGUGGGGGAUAACGUAGGGAAACUUACGCUAAUACCGCAUACGACCUACGGGUGAAAGCAGGGGAUCUUCGGACCUUGCGCGAUUGAAUGAGCCGAUGUCGGAUUAGCUAGUUGGCGGGGUAAAGGCCCAACAAGGCGACGAUCCGUAGCUGGUCUGAGAGGAUGAUCAGCCACACUGGAACUGAGACACGGUCCAGACUCCUACGGGAGGCAGCAGUGGGGAAUAUUGGACAAUGGGCGAAAGCCUGAUCCAGCCAUACCGCGUGAGUGAAGAGGGCCUUCGGGUUGUAAAGCCCUUUUGUUGGGAAAGAAAAGCAGCAGGUUAAUACCCCGCUGUUCUGACGGUACCCAAAGAAUAAGCACCGGCUAACUUCGUG